GGAAAGUAUAAAGUAUCAAAAAGUAAAAACAGGUACUUCUCACAAACUUACUGGUUUUUUUCUCCAUCUUUUCUGAUGAAGGCUUCCUGAAAAGUUUUGCACAUUGUUUUUAAGCCUUCAGUCAUAUUAUUUUAGUAUAAUUUUAAAGGACCUGGGAGAAUUUUAAAACCACUUAGAGCAAAUUGGCAUCAGUGUGCAAUAUUUUAAUCAGUUUGAUUCAUUUUUUUAACAGAGGUACAAAUGGCAACUGAUGUGUUUUUUUAAAAAAAAAUACACACAUUUUAAAUAAUAUACAUGGCUGCCAUCUUCUGUUUUAAAAGUAAAACUACAUCUAAAAUUGAAAAAUCAAUGUUGAACUAACAAAUAGAUAAUUAAACCCACACUAUAUUGUUCAAUCAUUUACACCAGGGUUGCUUGUCCUUGGUCAGUGCCUGAGUUCAAAUGGUUAGUGGUUCCAAGAUGCUCCUUGAUUAUUCUUGUCCUCCUAGCUGCGUGUUAUCACUUUGUGACUGCCUUUCCAGCUCUCUUCCCAACAUUACCUGUCACUUAGCAAUAUUUUACAAAAAUUCAAGCAAACCUGGAGUUUCAGAAAACUGAAUCAAUGACCUUGCAAUUACUGUAUGCAUAAUUAUAUUAUCUAUAUGGCAUCAGCCCACUGAUUAAAUGAGGCCACCAUUUGAGAUGCUGGUCCAUGCAUUCCACAUCUAAUAGAGGGCAUAGGGUGGACAUUUGGAAGAAGGUCCUAUCAUUUGCAUGACACAUCACCAAGUUUAAAGCUACUUCUUAAAAUGCAUUUAAUCUGUUGGCUUUUCCUGUUUCACUGAAUAAUUGUAUUUUUAAUUACAUGUCUAACCUUCAUAACACCUCUUAUACUAAAAGCAAAUAAAAAAAUACAAUUUCUUACAGAAGACAUCAAACGUUCUUGCUUUGCUUUACUCUCUCAAAAUAGACUACUACAGCAUAUUUUUCUUUUCAAAUAAACCUUUUAAAAGGGGUCAAACAUGAAGGAUAUGUCCUUCCAGGUUCAUUCUGGGAGUAAAAAAAAUACAAUUCAGUUGUCAUUAUAGAAGUUUAUUUGUAUAAACAACAGGUCACAUGACAUAAUUUAUAUUCUUUGUUUUGACAAGUUUUCUUACAACACCUGAGUUAUUUAAAUACUGAGAUAGGGAAAAAGCCUCAAUUUUUUUUCUAAGAAAAGUUCAAAUCAAAUAUUUGCUCACAAUUGGUCAGUUUUGCUUUUCCCUUCUACUGGAUAGGCAUUUCCGGCACAAACUAGAGAAAAUGGUACUUUAUUUGCACAUUCUUACAAAUGUCCAUUAUUGCAGUGGCACACAAUGUAGUCCCCAGCCUCCUCAGAGCCUUUAAUAAAUACGAAGUCUACAAGCUUUGUCCACUGAACUUAGUAGACCUAACUGCAUAUCCAGUCUGUCGCAUACCAUUUCAGAUAACCAUUUUCAGAUAACCAUUUUCAGAUAACCAUUUGAACUGUCAAACUAAACUGGUGCUCCUUUGAGUGAGCUUAGCUCCACACCAAAAGGAAACUCUCAUAAUGUAUUUAAGUAAUUGUAUUGAAUAGCUAGAUACUACUUAUUCUAGGAAUUUGUACAUGUCUAGUGAAGCUAAUGGAAAAGACAACAGGUAUCUCCCCUAUUUAAAUACCGGGUUUUUAUCUUCAAAUAAUUUCGACAUGUAGACAUUGAUCUGGCUAUGUCAGAAUUUAGAGCAGCUGCAGCCACUUUCCUCUUAGCUAGAGAUUCACCACCUUCUUUAUAAUUCUGGGAAAGAUUGAUGCAUUCAAAGCAGCUAAUUCCUACGCAGAAGUUAGGAAGUGAUGCUGUAAGAAUUAUCAAUCUACUUUCAAGUGAAAAAUAAAACCCCACUGUACAAGACUAUCAGUUUUGGCCUUUUGGGGAGUAAAGAAGAAUCAUUUUGAUAUAUUAGUAACAUGCAGAGGACGAAACUAGCUAAAGGAACAUUGGAAGCUCAGAAAUAUGGAGCCAACCUCAUGCCAACAUGGACAAUAUGCCACAACCUAUGUGCCACAGCAGAAAAGGUUCGCCGCCUAAGGCAGGGAUAUCUAACCUGAGCAACUUUAAGAGUCGUGGACUUCAGCUCCAAGCCAUGGGCUGGCUGGAGAAUUCUGGGAGUUGAAGUCCCCAGGUCCUAAAGUUGGCUCUGGCCUGGGGCCUGCCAAAUGUAGUUCCCAAGGCAACGGAACCUAUGUAAGUGUCCUCUCAGCUGCAUCUGGUGGGACAGACAAGGUAGAAUUGAGAAGAGGUGGCCCCAUGCCCUGUAGGGCUUUAAAGGUCAACACCAGUGCCUUCAAUUGGACAAACUGGGAAUCAGUGCAUCCUGUUAAGCAGAGGUAUAACAUGUGUCCUACCAGAACAUAGAUAAGAUGCUUUAGGAACGAUAAUAUGGAAAUAAGUGAGAAAAGUAUUAUUGGAUGGAGUGGAGCAGGUGGCUCUCAACAAUGUGGACUGGAUCAAGGGAACAAUGAUGAUUUGAUUAACAGAUUGACAGAGUUGGAAGGGACCUUGUAGGUCAUCUAGUCCAACCCACCCAAGCAGGAGACCCUAUACUAUUUCUGACAGACAAUCAAGCAGCAUAUUCAGCUUCUCUACUCAAAAUGGCAAUCAAGGGUCAUGCAGAGUAGUAGUAAACCUGGCAGUUUCUGUUUAUUGUAGCCAUAUUAGAUCAAAUGAAAGAUGAUCCAUGCUACUAGGGUCUUCUCUAAAGGUAAACAUAGCACUUUAUAGCAUAGUUUAAUGAGGAAACUCAGAUGCCUCUUUGGCGGCAUUUCACUUUUAUGCAUCUCACCUAAGGAUCUCAAAUUCCUAGGCCUGCUUAAAUACUGCUUUUUUUCUUUUUACAGGACAGGCUAAAACAGUAGAUUUGAUCAGGAGGUUACAUUUGGAUAAAAAAAGGCCUGCACAGCCAUUUGAAUGUACUGCAUUUUGAAACCUCAGUUGCAUUAAACUGGAGGCUGAAAGCCUACUGUCGUCAUUAUAUUUCAUAGGGGUUUGCAUUGCAAGCCAUCUCAGAGGGACUGAGUCCUCUUAUCUGAGCAAUCAGCCAUUCAAGAGCCAAAAUUAAGCAAAACACCCUUCCAGUUACCCACAGUGGCAUGUAUAGUCUUUUAUAAAGUGGUGAGCGAGUGGUAUGGAUGAGUUGGUGACCUGCAGUUAAGUUUAGCUUUGCCUUCCACUGUUGCUUCAAUGGGCCUCCUUCACUUCUUCUUUUUUAAGAAGACUUGUGCAUAAUUUGAAAUUAUAGGCAUGGCAUCUCUAAGCAUGGCCCUUAAGAAGCAACAUGAAGACUGUGACAGCCACCAGCUGAAUUUUCAGUAGGCUCAGAACAGGGGUCCCCAAACUUGGCAACUUUAAGACUUGUGGACCAACUCCCAGAAUUCUGGGAGUUGAAGUCCACAAAUCUUAAAGUUGCCAAGGUUGGGGACCUCUCUAAGGGCUUAGAAGGUAUAGUUUUCCCUGGACAGUUUUCCACUUGGUUCUUAUCUUGAACCAAUGAGGAAAAGAUCGAUCUGCCAUACAGUUAACUCAAUCGUAGCUGCCAAUGUCAAGUUACACAGAUCGUCCUGAAGUACUACAUACUUUUCAGUUACAAUUUAUGGAAGAGAAAAUAAACUAAUUCAUGUCAGGCAGAUGUGGACCCCAAUUUGAUGCAACCAUCGGGGUUUUCACACAAUCUAUGAGAGAGAAGGAAGCGUCACAGCUGAGUGCUUCUGAACAAAUCAAAUCUGAUUUUGCAAAAGGAACGUCUUAGUGGAUCCCACUCUAAUUGCAAAGAAUAAAGAAAUGUCUUUGGAAUUUGCUACUUCCACACCCAAGUCUCAAUCUGAUGCUCCAGAGAAAAGGGGAAUCGGUACAACUUAUCCGUAAAAUAGAACAGAAUUAUUCAGAUGCAUAGAGAUGCUGCAAAAGUUUGGCUUAAAAAGGUACUUUCCCUAGCUGUACUGAAAAGAACCGAGUUUCCUUUUGCUGAUACAAGCGUAACGGUUUUAAAUGUUUAAAGAGGGUGUGUGAGAUGUGAAUAACUUGCUACACACUUAAGCUGACAGGCUUGAUCUUAUCAAUAUGAUAAUACAUCAGUUCACCUAGUGACUCUGGGAAAUUUAACCCUGCAAUAAAUCUCUCCAGCAAAUUCUCCAAAUCUAGGCUUCAUUUCCAUAAACAAUCCCAAUAUCUUCACACCAGCCAGAGGAUGCAGUCCAACUACUUCAUACAUCAUUUCUUUCCAGAUAUAAAUAGACUCCACACUGGCCAGAUUUAUCCUACACAAAAUCAACUUGCAAAAUAGCAGCUGUGUGGGCCAGCCUGCGUGCGAAUCUUUUGAAGGAAAUUAAAGAAGGAGAUGUUAAAGGGAAGGGCUGAAAAAGGUAUCCCUUUUGAAAACAAGAGGGGAAGAGGGCACCAAAAGGACUUCAAAAUGUGUCUUCCAGGAUGGUCUUUUUCUUUUCUUUUU
Notechis scutatus (mainland tiger snake) is the source of this 4482-nucleotide non-coding RNA. The record is from RefSeq and is a predicted model, not a curated record. NCBI's taxonomy places the organism in Eukaryota, Metazoa, Chordata, Lepidosauria, Squamata, Elapidae.